GACGAACGCUGGCGGCGUGCUUAACACAUGCAAGUCGAACGGUAAGGCCCUUCGGGGUACACGAGUGGCGAACGGGUGAGUAACACGUGGGUGAUCUGCCCUGCACUUCGGGAUAAGCCUGGGAAACUGGGUCUAAUACCGGAUAGGACCACUGCCUGCAUGGGUGGUGGUGGAAAGCUUUUGCGGUGUGGGAUGGGCCCGCGGCCUAUCAGCUUGUUGGUGGGGUGAUGGCCUACCAAGGCGACGACGGGUAGCCGGCCUGAGAGGGUGACCGGGCCCAAUGGGACGGAGAUACGGCCAAGACUCCUACUGGGGGCAGCAGAAUGGAAUAUUGCGCAAUGGACGAAAGUCUGACGCAGCAACGCCGCGUGGAUGAUGAAGUAUUUCGGUACGUAAAAUCCUUUCGACAGGGAAGAAACGUAGGAGACGUAACUGGCUCUUACCUGACGGUACCUGUAGAAGAAGUCCCGGCUAAC
Molecule: ribosomal RNA, 476 nt
Filed under: uncultured bacterium
Lineage: Bacteria
Description: partial 16S ribosomal RNA
Rfam family: Bacterial small subunit ribosomal RNA
Source: RNAcentral